AACGAACGCUGGCGGCGCGUCUUAAGCAUGCAAGUCGAACGGUAAGGGAGAGCUUGCUCUCCCCUAGAGUGGCGGACUGGUGAGUAACGCGUGGGUGACCUGCCCUGAAGAUGGGGAUAGCUAGUAGAAAUAUUAGAUAAUACCGAAUGUGCUCAUUUACAUAAAGGUAAAUGAGGAAAGGAGCUACGGCUCCGCUUCAGGAUGGGCCCGCGUCCCAUUAGCUGGUUGGUGAGGUAAAGGCCCACCAAGGCAACGAUGGGUAUCCGGCCUGAGAGGGUGAACGGACACAUUGGGACUGAGAUACGGCCCAAACUCCUACGGGAGGCAGCAGCUAAGAAUCUUCCGCAAUGGACGAAAGUCUGACGGAGCGACGCCGUGUGAAUGAAGAAGGCCGAAAGGUUGUAAAAUUCUUUUGCAGAUGAAGAAUAAGAAGAAGAGGGAAUGCUUCUUUGAUGACGGUAGUCAUGCGAAUAAGCCCCGGCUAAUUACGUGCCAGCAGCCGCGGUAACACGUAAGGGGCGAGCGUUGUUCGGAAUUAUUGGGCGUAAAGGGUAUGUAGGCGGUUAGGUAAGCCUGGUGUGAAAUCUACGAGCUCAACUCGUAAACUGCAUUGGGUACUGCUUGACUUGAAUCACGGAGGGGAAACCGGAAUUCCAAGUGUAGGGGUGGAAUCUGUAGAUAUUUGGAAGAACACCGGUGGCGAAGGCGGGUUUCUGGCCGAUGAUUGACGCUGACAUACGAAGGUGCGGGGAGCAAACAGG
RNAcentral lists this ribosomal RNA (761 nucleotides) under uncultured Treponema sp. RNAcentral's name for it is "bacterial SSU rRNA". It matches the Rfam family "Bacterial small subunit ribosomal RNA", at positions 28 to 776 of the family's 1533-position model. The record is from RNAcentral. Lineage: Bacteria; Pseudomonadati; Spirochaetota; Spirochaetia; Treponematales; Treponemataceae.